AGGAAAGNCAGGGGAUCGCAAGACCUUGCGCUUUUGGAGCGGCCGAUGUCUGAUUAGCUAGUUGGUGAGGUAAAGGCUUACCAAGGCUUCGAUCAGUAGCUGGUCUGAGAGGACGACCAGCCACACUGGGACUGAGACACGGCCCAGACUCCUACGGGAGGCAGCAGUGGGGAAUUUUGGACAAUGGGGGAAACCCUGAUCCAGCCAUGCCGCGUGAGUGAAGAAGGCCUUCGGGUUGUAAAGCUCUUUCAGCCGGAACGAAACGGUCACGGUUAAUACCCGUGAUCACUGACGGUACCGGAAGAAGAAGCACCGGCUAACUACGUGCCAGCAGCCGCGGUAAUACGUAGGGUGCGAGCGUUAAUCGGAAUUACUGGGCGUAAAGCGUGCGCAGGCGGUUUUGUAAGUCAAGAUGUGAAAUNCCCCGGGCUCAACCUGGGAACUGCGUUUGAAACUANCAAGGCU
Molecule: ribosomal RNA, 465 nt
Filed under: uncultured beta proteobacterium
Lineage: Bacteria; Pseudomonadati; Pseudomonadota; Betaproteobacteria
Description: bacterial SSU rRNA
Rfam family: Bacterial small subunit ribosomal RNA
Source: RNAcentral